This 303-nucleotide ribosomal RNA is filed under the name uncultured bacterium. RNAcentral describes it as "partial 16S ribosomal RNA". It matches the Rfam family "Bacterial small subunit ribosomal RNA", at positions 507 to 807 of the family's 1533-position model. The record is from RNAcentral.
AGCAGCAGCCACGGUAAUACGAAGGGUGCAAGCGUUACUCGGAAUUACUGGGCGUAAAGCGUGCGUAGGUGGUGGUUUAAGUCUGCUGUGAAAGCCCUGGGCUCAACCUGGGAAUUGCAGUGGAUACUGGAUCACUAGAGUGUGGUAGAGGGAUGCGGAAUUUCUGGUGUAGCAGUGAAAUGCGUAGAGAUCAGAAGGAACGUCCGCGGCGAAGGCGGCAUCCUGGGCCAACACUGACACUGAGGCACGAAAGCGUGGGGAGCAAACAGGAUUAGAGACCCCCGUAGUCCCUGUCUCUUAUAC